AUACGUAGGGGGCGAGCGUUGUCCGGAAUGAUUGGGCGUAAAGGGCGCGUAGGCGGCCCAGUAAGUCUGGAGUGAAAGUCCUGCUUUCAAGGUGGGAAUUGCUUUGGAUACUGCCGCGCUUGAGUGCAGGAGAGGUUAUCGGAAUUCCCGGUGUAGCGGUGAAAUGCGUAGAGAUCGGGAGGAACACCAGUGGCGAAGGCGGGUAACUGGACUGCAACUGACGCUGAGGCGCGAAAGUGUGGGGAGCAAACAGGAUUAGAUACCCUGGUAGUCCACACUGUAAACGAUGAAUGCUAGGUGUAAGAGGUAUCGACCCCUUUUGUGCCGGAGUCAACACAAUAAGCAUUCCGCCUGAGGAGUACGGCCGCAAGGUUGAAACUUAAAGGAAUUGGCGGGG
Molecule: ribosomal RNA, 397 nt
Filed under: uncultured bacterium
Lineage: Bacteria
Description: partial 16S ribosomal RNA
Rfam family: Bacterial small subunit ribosomal RNA
Source: RNAcentral